AUGGAACUAUGUGAUAAAACAUAUGACAUGUUUUUCUUCUGUGUUUCUACUCCCACAGUUCUUUCUCUGAAUGUGGAUAGUGUUCUUUCUCACAAGUGCCUCUUGAUUAUCCUGGGUCACUGCAUUGCCGCUGUGGUGGCACAUCACACAACUGUGUAGCAGAACCAAAUCCAAUCUGGCCUCAGACAUCAACUCUGCAGGUCUGGAAGAAGCUGGGCAGCUACUAACUCUCUAGCAAUAGGAUGUGGGCCCUGUUACUCCAUAUCGCUCCUGC
This 274-nucleotide long non-coding RNA is filed under the name Monodelphis domestica (gray short-tailed opossum). RNAcentral describes it as "lncRNA (ENSMODG00000038035.1)". The record is from RNAcentral. Lineage: Eukaryota; Metazoa; Chordata; Mammalia; Didelphimorphia; Didelphidae.